UGCCAGCCGCCGCGGUAAUACGAAGGGUGCUAGCGUUGUUCGGAAUUACUGGGCGUAAAGAGCAUGUAGGCGGAUGAAUUAGUCAGAGGUGAAAGCCCCGAGCUCAACUUGGGAACUGCCUUUGAUACUGUUUAUCUAGAGUCCGAGAGAGGGUAGUGGAAUUCCUAGUGUAGAGGUGAAAUUCGUAGAUAUUAGGAAGAACACCAGUGGCGAAGGCGACUACCUGGCACGGCAUUGACGCUGAGGUGCGAAAGCGUGGGGAGCGAACGGGAUUAGAUA
RNAcentral lists this ribosomal RNA (279 nucleotides) under uncultured bacterium. RNAcentral describes it as "partial 16S ribosomal RNA". It matches the Rfam family "Bacterial small subunit ribosomal RNA", at positions 506 to 784 of the family's 1533-position model. The record is from RNAcentral.